Molecule: ribosomal RNA, 467 nt
Filed under: uncultured bacterium
Lineage: Bacteria
Description: partial 16S ribosomal RNA
Rfam family: Bacterial small subunit ribosomal RNA
Source: RNAcentral
ACGAACGCUGGCGGCGCGCCUAACACCUGCAAGUCGAACGGAGCUGAGAGAAGCUUGCUUUUCUUAGCUUAGUGGCGAACGGGUGAGUAACGCGUGAGUAACCUGCCCUGGAGUGGGGGACAACAGUUGGAAACGACUGCUAAUACCGCAUAAGCCCACGAUCCGGCAUCGGAUUGAGGGAAAAGGAUUUAUUCGCUUCAGGAUGGACUCGCGUCCAAUUAGCUAGUUGGUGAGGUAACGGCCCACCAAGGCGACGAUUGGUAGCCGGACUGAGAGGUUGAACGGCCACAUUGGGACUGAGACACGGCCCAGACUCCUACGGGAGGCAGCAGUGGGGGAUAUUGCACAAUGGGGGAAACCCUGAUGCAGCGACGCCGCGUGGAGGAAGAAGGUUUUCGGAUUGUAAACUCCUGUCGUUAGGGACGAUAAUGACGGUACCUAACAAGAAAGCACCGGCUAACUACGUG